RNAcentral lists this ribosomal RNA (89 nucleotides) under Gastrolobium melanopetalum. The record is from RNAcentral. Lineage: Eukaryota; Viridiplantae; Streptophyta; Magnoliopsida; Fabales; Fabaceae.
GGAUCCCAUCAGAACUCCGCAGAUAAGCGUGCUUGGGCGAGAGUAGUACUAGGAUGGGUGACCUCCUGGGAAGUCCUCGUGUUGCACCU